Molecule: ribosomal RNA, 1559 nt
Filed under: Salmonella enterica subsp. enterica serovar Corvallis
Lineage: Bacteria; Pseudomonadati; Pseudomonadota; Gammaproteobacteria; Enterobacterales; Enterobacteriaceae
Description: partial 23S ribosomal RNA
Rfam family: Bacterial large subunit ribosomal RNA
Source: RNAcentral
GUCGUGAGGCAUGCUGGAGGUAUCAGAAGUGCGAAUGCUGACAUAAGUAACGAUAAAGCGGGUGAAAAGCCCGCUCGCCGGAAGACCAAGGGUUCCUGUCCAACGUUAAUCGGGGCAGGGUGAGUCGACCCCUAAGGCGAGGCCGAAAGGCGUAGUCGAUGGGAAACGGGUUAAUAUUCCCGUACUUGGUGUUACUGCGAAGGGGGGACGGAGAAGGCUAUGUUGGCCGGGCGACGGUUGUCCCGGUUUAAGCGUGUAGGUGUGUGUUCCAGGUAAAUCCGGUUCACUUUAACACUGAGGCGUGACGACGAGGCACUACGGUGCUGAAGCAACAAAUGCCCUGCUUCCAGGAAAAGCCUCUAAGCAUCAGGUAACAUCAAAUCGUACCCCAAACCGACACAGGUGGUCAGGUAGAGAAUACCAAGGCGCUUGAGAGAACUCGGGUGAAGGAACUAGGCAAAAUGGUGCCGUAACUUCGGGAGAAGGCACGCUGACACGUAGGUGAAGUGAUUUACUCACGGAGCUGAAGUCAGUCGAAGAUACCAGCUGGCUGCAACUGUUUAUUAAAAACACAGCACUGUGCAAACACGAAAGUGGACGUAUACGGUGUGACGCCUGCCCGGUGCCGGAAGGUUAAUUGAUGGGGUCAGCGCAAGCGAAGCUCCUGAUCGAAGCCCCGGUAAACGGCGGCCGUAACUAUAACGGUCCUAAGGUAGCGAAAUUCCUUGUCGGGUAAGUUCCGACCUGCACGAAUGGCGUAAUGAUGGCCAGGCUGUCUCCACCCGAGACUCAGUGAAAUUGAACUCGCUGUGAAGAUGCAGUGUACCCGCGGCAAGACGGAAAGACCCCGUGAACCUUUACUAUAGCUUGACACUGAACAUUGAGCCUUGAUGUGUAGGAUAGGUGGGAGGCUUUGAAGUGUGGACGCCAGUCUGCAUGGAGCCGACCUUGAAAUACCACCCUUUAAUGUUUGAUGUUCUAACGUGGACCCGUAAUCCGGGUUGCGGACAGUGUCUGGUGGGUAGUUUGACUGGGGCGGUCUCCUCCUAAAGAGUAACGGAGGAGCACGAAGGUUGGCUAAUCCUGGUCGGACAUCAGGAGGUUAGUGCAAUGGCAUAAGCCAGCUUGACUGCGAGCGUGACGGCGCGAGCAGGUGCGAAAGCAGGUCAUAGUGAUCCGGUGGUUCUGAAUGGAAGGGCCAUCGCUCAACGGAUAAAAGGUACUCCGGGGAUAACAGGCUGAUACCGCCCAAGAGUUCAUAUCGACGGCGGUGUUUGGCACCUCGAUGUCGGCUCAUCACAUCCUGGGGCUGAAGUAGGUCCCAAGGGUAUGGCUGUUCGCCAUUUAAAGUGGUACGCGAGCUGGGUUUAGAACGUCGUGAGACAGUUCGGUCCCUAUCUGCCGUGGGCGCUGGAGAACUGAGGGGGGCUGCUCCUAGUACGAGAGGACCGGAGUGGACGCAUCACUGGUGUUCGGGUUGUCAUGCCAAUGGCACUGCCCGGUAGCUAAAUGCGGAAGAGAUAAGUGCUGAAAGCAUCUAAGCACGAAACUUGCCCCGA